RNAcentral lists this long non-coding RNA (519 nucleotides) under Heterocephalus glaber (naked mole-rat). RNAcentral describes it as "lncRNA (ENSHGLG00100046467.1)". The record is from RNAcentral. Lineage: Eukaryota; Metazoa; Chordata; Mammalia; Rodentia; Bathyergidae.
GACAUUCUGGUCUUCUGAGCUAUGACAAGCAUUGCACAUCAAGGUUCACUUACAGUUUUCUGGAGCUUCUCUACCCUCCAUCAUCAAAUCUUUCCUGACUCCUCCAAAGAACCAGUUCCAAAGGUUUUGAAAACACAUCAUCAGGUAGAAAGAAGAAAAGAAAGCAGGAAAGAUUGGAAAGAUAAAGGAAGUCUUUCAGGUGAAGAUUAAAACAGAUGGAGUUUGACAAUCUUUAAUCAACAUUAAGAAAAGCCUGCUGAUUUAUCAAUGAAUUUAGGACUGGACUCAGAUGACCUUCCCUCCAUCAAGAAUGGAUUGAACUUGGGUCCUUGAGCUUGCGCAGCAGGCGGCGAAACCACUGAGCUAAAUCCCCGGCCCCUAAUUGGAUUCUUUUCUAAGAAAAUCAACAUAAAGUGGUUUAUAAAUUUCAACACAAGAAUUUUAAAAGAAAAAAUAAGAAAAAGGUUUGUGACAUUGAUCUGAGAUUAAUUUCAUAGAGAUGACAUUUAAAGCAUGGGA